Mus caroli (Ryukyu mouse) is the source of this 1083-nucleotide long non-coding RNA. RefSeq lists it as uncharacterized. The record is from RefSeq and is a predicted model, not a curated record. Lineage: Eukaryota; Metazoa; Chordata; Mammalia; Rodentia; Muridae.
CUGCAAUGUGUCGCCCCAACAGAGCAUGCUCUACCCAGGAAGCAGUCAAGGUCUUCACAGCCUCUGGAAAAUGUAACCAACAUUGAUGAGACGCUCCCACAGAAGCACUGCUGAGGCAGCAUCCAGGAGUGGGUCGGAAGAGAGACUGUGAUGCUUUUGAAAACGCGGUGUCUCGGUGUCUGUUGUUUCUGUUAAUCCUGAAGAUGUUCACCCGUGAGACUGAAUCAGAAACUUGUCCCUGCCCUCACUCAGAGGAUGACUCAUACCGUGUGGGCGAGGUUUGGAGAUGGAAGCUGGCUGUGCUCUCUCUGUUGGUAACCAAGGCAAAGGCAUCUUGCUGAGAGAAUGCUUGCAAGUACAUAGAGAGCUAAUCCCACCGUCAGGCCUGUGAAUGUUGGUUACCCCUGUUGGUUAUCCUUUGCUUAAGUUUAAGUCACGGCAUCUUCAGAAUUACAUAGUUCCAAGAUACCAAGAUACUGUGUCUUCUGGUCCACAUUCCUUUGUCAUUGAACAGUUGCAUACACUGAACAGGCUUUGGGUAAAUGAGGGAAGGACAGGGGACCAAGAGAGAACUUGAGUGCUUGGGAAAUAGCAUUGAACAAUAAGUCAGAAGGUGAGGCCUCUAGAGAUGUACCUUUAAAUUCCAGAUUUCGGUUUCACUGUGUAGGCUUUGGCAGGUUGUCAAAGGCAUUUGAGUUUCCCUCAUUUCCAAUAUACCUUAAAGCAUCUCUUCAAUGGAGAACACCUAGCACAGAGUAUCCGGGUUGCUCUCAGUGAUUGGCAAGUGACAUCUUUUUCUACUAUGGUAAAUGCUCACCAGGAAAAAAAUGUUCUGAAGGUCCUGUCUUAACAGAGCAGAGCCAUGUGGGCACAAAAGGGGUCAGAGAAGGACAGAAAGGGCAGGAGAGACUGUCCAAGAGCACAUGGGAACACACACAGAGCGAGCGAGCGAGCGAGCGAGCGAGAGAGAGAGAGAGAGAGAGAGAGAUGGGGUGGUGACCAGUCCUUUUCUGUGCUAGGUCACCUGCACCCAGAAGUGGCAGAUAAUGGUGGCAGGUGAUGACUUAAGCUGUUGCUAGGUCC